Molecule: ribosomal RNA, 468 nt
Filed under: uncultured bacterium
Lineage: Bacteria
Description: partial 16S ribosomal RNA
Rfam family: Bacterial small subunit ribosomal RNA
Source: RNAcentral
GACGAACGCUGGCGGCGUGCUUAACACAUGCAAGUCGAACGGAAAGGCCCUGCUUUUGUGGGGUGCUCGAGUGGCGAACGGGUGAGUAACACGUGAGUAACCUGCCCUUGACUUUGGGAUAACUUCAGGAAACUGGGGCUAAUACCGGAUAGGAGCUCCUGCUGCAUGGUGGGGGAUGGUAAGUUUCGGCGGUUGGGGAUGGACUCGCGGCUUAUCAGCUUGUUGGUGGGGUAGUGGCUUACCAAGGCUUUGACGGGUAGCCGGCCUGAGAGGGUGACCGGCCACAUUGGGACUGAGGUACGGCCCAGACUCCUACGGGAGGCAGCAGUGGAGAAUAUUGCACAAUGGGCGGAAGCCUGAUGCAGCAACGCCGCGUGCGGGAUGACGGCCUUCGGGUUGUAAACCGCUUUCGCCUGUGACGAAGCGUGAGUGACGGUAAUGGGUAAAGAAGCACCGGCUAACUACGUG